Molecule: ribosomal RNA, 497 nt
Filed under: uncultured bacterium
Lineage: Bacteria
Description: partial 16S ribosomal RNA
Rfam family: Bacterial small subunit ribosomal RNA
Source: RNAcentral
GAUGAACGCUGGCGGCGUGCCUAAUACAUGCAAGUCGAGCGAACAGACGAGGAGCUUGCUCCUCUGACGUUAGCGGCGGACGGGUGAGUAACACGUGGAUAACCUACCUAUAAGACUGGGAUAACUUCGGGAAACCGGAGCUAAUACCGGAUAAUAUAUUGAACCGCAUGGUUCAAUAGUGAAAGACGGUUUUGCUGUCACUUAUAGAUGGAUCCGCGCCGCAUUAGCUAGUUGGUAAGGUAACGGCUUACCAAGGCGACGAUGCGUAGCCGACCUGAGAGGUUGAUCGGCCACACUGGAACGGAGACACGGUCCAGACUCCUACGGGAGGCAGCAGUAGGGAAUCUUCCGCAAUGGGCGAAAGCCUGACGGAGCAACGCGGCGUGAGUGAUGAAGGUCUUCGGAUCGUAAAACUCUGUUAUUAGGGAAGAACAAAUGUGUAAGUAACUAUGCACGUCUUGACGGUACCUAAUCAGAAAGCCACGGCUAACUACGUG